UACGGAGGGUGCAAGCGUUAUCCGGAUUUACUGGGUUUAAAGGGUGCGUAGGUGGGUAGGAAAGUCAGUGGUGAAAUCUUCGGGCUUAACCCGGAAACUGCCAUUGAUACUAUUUAUCUUGAAUACUUUGGAGGUAAGCGGAAUAUGUCAUGUAGCGGUGAAAUGCUUAGAUAUGACAUAGAACACCAAAUUGCGAAGGCAGCUUACUACACAGUUAUUGACACUGAGGCACGAAAGCGUUGGGGAUCAAACAGG
This 255-nucleotide ribosomal RNA is filed under the name uncultured bacterium. RNAcentral describes it as "partial 16S ribosomal RNA". It matches the Rfam family "Bacterial small subunit ribosomal RNA", at positions 524 to 776 of the family's 1533-position model. The record is from RNAcentral.